This 253-nucleotide ribosomal RNA is filed under the name uncultured bacterium. RNAcentral's name for it is "partial 16S ribosomal RNA". It matches the Rfam family "Bacterial small subunit ribosomal RNA", at positions 524 to 776 of the family's 1533-position model. The record is from RNAcentral.
GACGAACCGUGCGAACGUUGUUCGGAAUCACUGGGCUUAAAGGGCGCGUAGGCGGCUCCGCAAGUCGGGGGUGAAAUCCCACAGCUUAACUGUGGAAGUGCCUCCGAUACUGCGGGGCUCGAGUGAGGUAGGGGUCGAGGGAACUUCUGGUGGAGCGGUGAAAUGCGUUGAUAUCAGAAGGAACGCCGGUGGCGAAAGCGCUCGACUGGACCUCUUCUGACGCUGAGGCGCGAAAGCCAGGGGAGCGAACGGG